RNAcentral lists this ribosomal RNA (279 nucleotides) under uncultured bacterium. RNAcentral's name for it is "partial 16S ribosomal RNA". It matches the Rfam family "Bacterial small subunit ribosomal RNA", at positions 506 to 784 of the family's 1533-position model. The record is from RNAcentral.
GGCCAGCCGCCGCGGUAAUACGGGGGGUGCAAGCGUUACUCGGAAUCACUGGGCGUAAAGAGCAUGUAGGCUGGUUUGUAAGUUGGAAGUGAAAUCCUAUGGCUUAACCAUAGAACUGCUUCCAAAACUGCAGACCUAGAGUAUGGGAGAGGUAGAUGGAAUUUCUGGUGUAGGGGUAAAAUCCGUAGAGAUCAGAAGGAAUACCGAUUGCGAAGGCGAUCUACUGGAACAUAACUGACACUGAGGAACGAAAGCAUGGGUAGCGAAGAGGAUUAGAUA